This 480-nucleotide ribosomal RNA is filed under the name uncultured bacterium. Its description in RNAcentral is "partial 16S ribosomal RNA". It matches the Rfam family "Bacterial small subunit ribosomal RNA", at positions 28 to 507 of the family's 1533-position model. The record is from RNAcentral.
GACGAACGCUGGCGGCGUGCUUAACACAUGUAAGUCGAACGAUGAAGAAAAGAAUUGAAGCUUCGGCAGAAAUUCAUUUCGGAUUAGUGGCAGACGGGUGAGUAACGCGUGAGCAACCUACCUCUUACAAAGGGAUAGCCUCGGGAAACCGGGAUUAAUACCAUAUAACAUUGCGACGAAGCAUUUCGAUGCAAUCAAAGCUACGGCGGUAAGAGAUGGGCUCGCGUCCCAUUAACCAGAUGGUGAGGUAACGGCUCACCAUAGUAACGAUGGGUAACCGGCGUGAGAGGGUGACAGGUCACACUGGAACUGAGACACGGUCCAGACUCCUACGGGAGGCAGCAGUGGGGAAUAUUGCACAAUGGAGGGAACUCUGAUGCAGCGACGCCGCGUGAGUGAUGAAGGAAUUCGUUCCGUAAAACUCUGUUCUAUGGGAAGAAAAGGACUGUACCAUAGGAGAAAGCUCCGGCUAAAUACGUG